AGCGAACGCUGGCGGCAGGCCUAACACAUGCAAGUCGAACGAACCUUUCGGGGUUAGUGGCGGACGGGUGAGUAACACGUGGGAACGUGCCUUUAGGUUCGGAAUAACUCAGGGAAACUUGUGCUAAUACCGAAUGUGCCCUUCGGGGGAAAGAUUAAUCGCCUUUAGAGCGGCCCGCGUCUGAUUAGCUAGUUGGUUGAGGUAAUGGCUCACCAAGGCGACGAUCAGUAGCUGGUCUGAGAGGAUGAUCAGCCACAUUGGGACUGAGACACGGCCCAAACUCCUACGGGAGGCAGCAGUGGGGAAUCUUGCGCAAUGGGCGAAAGCCUGACGCAGCCAUGCCGCGUGAAUGAUGAAGGUCUUAGGAUGUAAAAUUCUUUCACCGGGGACGAUAAUGACGGUACCCGGAGAAGAAGCCCCGGCUAACUUCGUG
This 433-nucleotide ribosomal RNA is filed under the name uncultured bacterium. RNAcentral describes it as "partial 16S ribosomal RNA". It matches the Rfam family "Bacterial small subunit ribosomal RNA", at positions 29 to 507 of the family's 1533-position model. The record is from RNAcentral.